CUGCAAUCAACCGAUAUUGGAAUCAAAUCAACGCCGAUGCCGCCGUCUUCGACGACGAUAACGACGUGGACAUAUCCGAGCCCGAGUUCGAAUAGCAGCCAACUAAUCAUCACAAUACCAUACAAUAAAAUAAAAUAAAUCAUAAGUAACAUUUGUUACGUAACUGCUAUCCCGAAUAUGUGGGUUAGUUAUGCACAAAAAAAGUCAUUUCCCAUUUGGUUGAGAUGGCUGUGCGGGAGUACAAACAGAGCGUUUUUCCAUUAUAUGGGAAACACCCUAAUGUAUACAUUUGUGCAAAUACUUACCUUUUCAUGAGCAUUUAAUGUGGAUUGGCGUGAAAACUUUUUGCCACACACAUUACACUGGAACGGUUUUUCCCCAGAAUGAGUACGGAUGUGCCUACGGGACAUUUCAUAAAAUAAUAUUUAUUUUUACAUAACUAAUUUGUGCAAAACUACUAAAAGGUACAAAACUCACCUACGACAAUUAUAUACAUUUGUAAAGGUUUUUUGACAAAAGAAACAAACAUUGGUAUUGCAAUUUGCCGCAAUCAGAUUAAAAUCAUUUGGCGAGUCAACGUUAAUAUUCGGCACAUUAACAGUUGCUGUUGAUGUCUUGAUGGUGCCUGCCGUGCCACUGGUUAUGAUUGCUGUCUGAUUUACCGCCGUCACCUUUGAAUUUAAUGUAUAAUUCAACUGUGCUGUUGCUUCGACCAUCUGAAACAAUCGAAUCCAAACAUUUAAUUUAUUCAAAAGUUUCGUGUAAUGUGACGGUUUAUUUCGUAUUGAUUUGUUACUCUUUUUAUGAAUUUCAUGGGAAUAUUGAACAAAUGGACAAAUUAUAUUUUACAUCGAUGAUUGUA
Molecule: long non-coding RNA, 862 nt
Organism: Contarinia nasturtii (swede midge)
Lineage: Eukaryota; Metazoa; Arthropoda; Insecta; Diptera; Cecidomyiidae
Exons: 2
Source: RefSeq, a predicted model, not a curated record